CGGGAGGCGACACGAGGCCUUCCGGGCCGACUAUGAUUGACUCGCGGCACUUUCUCCCACUUUUCCCUCAGAUAUCCCCGGUGCGUGCCCUGAGUUAUAAACCAACUACUCCGCGUACUUAUGCCAUGGGAGUGCACUCCUUGGGGAACGGACUCGUGCAGGAUCGAUAGGAUCGUGAAGAAGAAUGAACUACUUUAGUACUUAGUUGCAUUUGAUGAUCGUGAUGGAGGCAGAGAGUGCUGCUGAUCGCGAUCCAGAUCCGGGUCAAGAAUCACCUCCUGAUCCUAAGGAAACCUCAGCUGACGUAGAUCUACGUUCUCUUCGCGUGAACGCUCAGUCUGUGUUGGCUUGGGCCACAGAGCGUUCCGAAUCCCAGCCGCUAAAGACCCACAGAAGGCAAGAAGCUUGCGUUGCAAAGCUGCUGUCCCGCCUGACUGCGGAGAAAGAAGACUCGUUUAUGGCUGUUCUACAGCCGCUGCUGACGUCCAUCAGCUCUGUCCUGCUCCCAGCAGCAGAUAAGCCUGGAUUUCAAUGAGUCGUGUCCCAACUCCGGUGUGAACGAUUUCCUGACGUCAAGACGAAGUGGGGUCAAGUCAUGGGUGUUGCAAGGAAGCUGUCACAAGAUGAAUUGAUCCAGUAUUGAACGGCUACAGCACAACUGAGAGAACGAAAUGUACGUCGCAAUCAAGCUAUGUCGUUGCCAUCUUCUAUGUGCCAUGCGUUACCUGAUGUGCCAGCCUGCUAUGUCGGAUACCGCUAACCAUGCAUCGACUAGGCGCCAGGCGCGAACUGAUGGUGGUGGUAGUGGUGGUGGUGGUGAUGAGAAGGAGAGCUCUGUGCCAGAAUAACUUUGCAGUUUAGAGAGCGUGUCUGGGCAGGCGUGUAUUUACCGCCAUAUUGCCAGGUGUGUAUUUACCACCGUAUUAAUCAACCAUGCGCUACCUGAUGUACCAGCAUGCUAUAUCGGACACCACUCACCCUGCAUCGACUAGGCGCCAGAUGCGAACUGAUGAUGGUGGUGGUGGGAAGGAGAGCUCUGUGCCAGAAUAACU
This is a long non-coding RNA of Sycon ciliatum, 1052 nucleotides long. RefSeq lists it as uncharacterized. The transcript is spliced from 3 exons. The record is from RefSeq and is a predicted model, not a curated record. Lineage: Eukaryota; Metazoa; Porifera; Calcarea; Leucosolenida; Sycettidae.